This 492-nucleotide ribosomal RNA is filed under the name uncultured bacterium. Its description in RNAcentral is "partial 16S ribosomal RNA". It matches the Rfam family "Bacterial small subunit ribosomal RNA", at positions 29 to 507 of the family's 1533-position model. The record is from RNAcentral.
AGUGAACGCUGGCGGUAGGCCUAACACAUGCAAGUCGAACGGCAGCACAGUAAGAGCUUGCUCUUACGGGUGGCGAGUGGCGGACGGGUGGGGAAUACAUCGGAAUCUACUUUUUCGUGGGGGAUAACGUAGGGAAACUUACGCUAAUACCGCAUACGACCUACGGGUGAAAGCAGGGGAUCUUCGGACCUUGCGCGAUUGAAUGAGCCGAUGUCGGAUUAGCUAGUUGGCGGGGUAAAGGCCCACCAAGGCGACGAUCCGUAGCUGGUCUGAGAGGAUGAUCAGCCACACUGGAACUGAGACACGGUCCAGACUCCUACGGGAGGCAGCAGUGGGGAAUAUUGGACAAUGGGCGCAAGCCUGAUCCAGCCAUACCGCGUGGGUGAAGAAGGCCUUCGGGUUGUAAAGCCCUUUUGUUGGGAAAGAAAAGCAGCAGGUUAAUACCCCGCUGUUCUGACGGUACCCAAAGAAUAAGCACCGGCCAACUUCGUG